UACAUGAUGCAAAUAUACAUGAUACAAACAUGAUACAAACAUACAUGGCACAAACAGAUGAUACAAACAUACAUGAUGCAAAUAAACAUGAUACAAACAUGAUACAAACAUACAUGACUCAAACAGAUGAUACAAACAUACCUGAUACUAACAUGAUACAAACAUACCUGAUACUAACAUGAUACAAACAUACAUGAUUCAAACAUGAUACAAACAUUCAUGAUAUAAUCAUGAUACAAACAUACAUGAUACAAACACAUGAUGCAAGGGGGUAAAAGUUAGGUUAUCAGCAACGUUCUAUUUCUUGUGAAAAUCUGCUACCAAAACGAUUUUCGUAAAAUCUUGUCCUAUGGCAUAAAUACAAUUUUUUCACAGGAUGUUUUCCUGAUGUUCGAGCCGAGACAUUUUGAUUGUGAUAAUGCAUUUUGGGAAAUCAUGCUUUUUGUAUGAGGAAGUUGUUGGUUCAAAUCGGAAAGUUGAAAUAUGUUUCCUAAUGGACGUGAGGCAUUCACAAAACAUGAAUAUGAAACUGAUGUAAUUUAGUAAGCCAUUGCUAAAAAAUUUCCCAGUUUUGAAACAGUGUUAACUCAAGUUUACUAGCACCAUGGCUGUGCUUGUGGGUUUCACCAAAGUGGUAAACCUCCAAGACCUGCAUCACUUCAGGCUGUCCUCCCACCUUAAGCUUACACGCUGCAAUAUAAUUAGAAUACUGUUCAAAGUGGCGUUUCAUCUAUAGACAUGGCUUAGAUGUUUCAUGAGACAAUCAAGAUUAGAGCUUUUGCCUGCUGUAACACAUUAAUACAUGACAGAUAUCAAGCUGCAUACCCCAUGUACAGAUAUUGAUAUGGCUCACAUCGGUUCUUCAGCAAGGUCUCCCAGAAACCUUGGUUAUGAAUUUGAAAAGCUCUCAAUGUUGUUUUUAGAUCUUUUAAAAGCAUUUAUGGUAAAGCACAUUAUGUGAUUGUUGUGUUUUGCUCCAGCCAGGUUACACGGUGAUCUGUCUAUGGCUUAUAUGAAAUUUACCUAAACAUAUGAUACUUUCAAGAAUAUGAUAAGUAACGUGAUAUUACUCUUAUAGAGAAUCUGUGAUAGUAAGUUGCUGAUAGAUAAUAAUGACUACUGCUUAAAAUAGGUGUUGAAAAUGGUGUCUAUUAAUCCCAACUAAAGCUACUAUCGACACUUGAUGUGGUAGCAGCCCAGACAGAGCUGCAACUAUGUAAGAUUGUUCCGAUAGGCAGGCUGUUGGAAUGUUCUGAUAGGCAGGGUCUUGGAAUUUCCAACAGGCAGGCUGUUGGAAUGUUCCGAUAGGCAGGGUCUUGGAAUUUCCGAUAUCCAGGCUGUUGGAAUGUUCUGAUAGGCAGGGUCUUGGAAUUUCCAAUAGGCAGGCUGUUGGAAUGUUCCGAUAGGCAGGGUCUUGGAAUUCCGAUAUCCAGGCUGUUGGAAUGUUCCGAUAGGCAGGGUCUUGGAAUUUCUGAUAUCCAUGCUGUUGGAAUGUUCCGAUAGGCAGGGUCUUGGAAUUUCCGAUAUCCAGGCUGUUGGAAUGUUCCGAUAGGCAGGGUCUUGGAAUGUUCCGAUAUCCAGGCUGUUGGAAUGUUUCGAUAGGCAGGGUCUUGGAAUGUUCUGAUAUCCAGGCUGUUCGAAUGUUCCGAAAGGCAGGCGGUUGUAAUGUUCUGAUAUGCAGGCUUUUGGAAUUUUUUGAUAGGUAGGCUGCUGGAAUGUUCUGAUAGGUGAGUCGUCAGAAUGUUCAGAUAGGUGCGCCGUCAGAAUGUUCAGAUGGGCAGGCUGUUAGAAUGUUGAUAUGUGCAGGCUCUAUGGCCACACUAAGAUAGUGCUCUGGAAGCUGACACAUCUGUGUGGUAGAUGGUCACGUGGAGCUGCAACUAUGUUAGAAUGUUCAGAUAGAAUGCUGUAAACUGACACAUCUGUGUGGUAGAUGGUCACGUGGAGCUGCAACUAUGUUAGAAUGUUCAGAUAGAAGGCUGUAAACUGACACAUCUAUGUGGUAGAUGAUCAUGCUGAGCUGCAACUAUGUUAGAAUGUUCAGAUGUGCUGGCUGUUGUAUAGCAGAUUCUAUCCACACUGAUAUUUAUAUAUAAGCAUUAUUUGGGAUAUCUAUGCUAAACUUGUUUUAUGAUUUCUCAGAUCACAGUGCAAUAAUUCAGUUCAACCUAGUUUUGUAUCUAGUCUUUCCUAAAUCAAAACAAAGAAAUAAAGUGUAUAUUCUGAUAA
This 2229-nucleotide long non-coding RNA is filed under the name Haliotis rufescens (red abalone). RNAcentral's name for it is "uncharacterized LOC124144980". Lineage: Eukaryota; Metazoa; Mollusca; Gastropoda; Lepetellida; Haliotidae. The record is from RNAcentral.